AAGUCCAGGGGGAAAUGCCUCCGUCAACGGAGGGACUGCCAUGAUACUGGGAUGCUGGAGUAUAGUUGGCGUAGGCGGAUAUUUCAUGUAGCGGUGAAAUGUUUAGAUAGAAAAUAAGAGCACCGAUCGCGAAGGCAGCUUACGAAAGCUAUACUGGCGCUCAUGAACGAAAGCGUGGGGAUCAAACAGGAUUAGAUACCCUGGUAGUCCACGCUGUAAACGAUGAUUACUCGUUGUCGGCGAUAUACAGUCGGUGGCUAAGCGAAAGUGAUAAGUAAUCCACCUGGGGAGUACGAUCGCAAGGUUGAAACUCAAAGGAAUUGACGGGGGCCCGCACAAGCGGAGGAGCAUGUGGUUUAAUUCGAUGAUACGCGAGGAACCUUACCUGGGCUUAAAUGUAGAUUGCAUGAUGGGGAAACCUGUCUUUUCUUCGGAACUAUUUACAAGGUGCUGCAUGGUUGUCGUCAGCUCGUGCCGUGAGGUGUCGGGUUAAGUCCCAUAACGAGCGCAACCCCUACCUUUAGUUGCCAUCAGGUUAAGCUGGGGACUCUAAAGGAACUGCCUACGCAAGUAGUGAGGAAGGUGGGGAUGACGUCAAAUCAGCACGGCCCUUACGUCCAGGGCUACACACGUGCUACAAUGGUCGGUACAGAGGGUCGCUACCCCGCGAGGGGAUGCCAAUCUCGAAAGCCGAUCUCAGUUCGGAUCGAAGUCUGAAACUCGACUUCGUGAAGUUGGAUUCGCUAGUAAUCGCGCAUCAGCCAUGGCGCGGUGAAUACGUUCCCGGGCCUUGUACACACCGCCCGUCAAACAAUGGAAGCUUGGGGUACCUGAAGUCCGUCACCGCGAGGAUCGGCCUAGGGUAAAACAAGUAACUGGUGUUAAGUGGUAACAAGGUAACCAAGGGCGAA
Molecule: ribosomal RNA, 911 nt
Filed under: uncultured bacterium
Lineage: Bacteria
Description: bacterial SSU rRNA
Rfam family: Bacterial small subunit ribosomal RNA
Source: RNAcentral